Molecule: unclassified non-coding RNA, 237 nt
Filed under: plant metagenome
Description: partial contains small subunit ribosomal RNA, internal transcribed spacer 1, and 5.8S ribosomal RNA
Source: RNAcentral
UCUCCGUUGGUGAACCAGCGGAGGGAUCAUUACCGAGUUUACAACUCCCAAACCCCAUGUGAACCUUACCAAACGUUGCUUCGGCGGGAUGCCCCGGGCGCGGGCCGCAAGGCCUCAGCCCCGGAACCAGGCGCCCGCCGGAGGCCCAAACCAAACUCUUGUUUUUGUAGAAUCUUCUGAGUGGCCUUUUAGGCAAAAAAUGAAUCAAAACUUUCAACAACAGAUCUCUUGGUUCUG